CAGUCGCCGCGGUAAUGCGUAGGUGGCAAGCGUUGUCCGGAAUUAUUGGGCGUAAAGGGCUCGCAGGCGGUUUCUUAAGUCUGAUGUGAAAGCCCCCGGCUCAACCGGGGAGGGUCAUUGGAAACUGGGAAACUUGAGUACAGAAGAGGAGAGUGGAAUUCCACGUGUAGCGGUGAAAUGCGUAGAGAUGUGGAGGAACACCAGUGGCGAAGGCGACUCUCUGGUCUGUAACUGACGCUGAGGAGCGAAAGCGUGGGGGGCGAACAGGAUUAGAUACCCCCGUAGUCCCUGUCUCUUAUAC
This 301-nucleotide ribosomal RNA is filed under the name uncultured bacterium. RNAcentral describes it as "partial 16S ribosomal RNA". It matches the Rfam family "Bacterial small subunit ribosomal RNA", at positions 509 to 807 of the family's 1533-position model. The record is from RNAcentral.